This 1356-nucleotide ribosomal RNA is filed under the name Campylobacter coli. RNAcentral describes it as "bacterial SSU rRNA". It matches the Rfam family "Bacterial small subunit ribosomal RNA", at positions 56 to 1421 of the family's 1533-position model. The record is from RNAcentral. Lineage: Bacteria; Pseudomonadati; Campylobacterota; Epsilonproteobacteria; Campylobacterales; Campylobacteraceae.
UGCAGUCGACGAUGAAGCUACUAGCUUGCUAGAAGUGGAUUAGUGGCGCACGGGUGAGUAAGGUAUAGUUAAUCUGCCCUACACAAGAGGACAACAGUUGGAAACGACUGCUAAUACUCUAUACUCCUGCUUAACACAAGUUGAGUAGGGAAAGUUUUUCGGUGUAGGAUGAGACUAUAUAGUAUCAGCUAGUUGGUAAGGUAAUGGCUUACCAAGGCUAUGACGCUUAACUGGUCUGAGAGGAUGAUCAGUCACACUGGAACUGAGACACGGUCCAGACUCCUACGGGAGGCAGCAGUAGGGAAUAUUGCGCAAUGGGGGAAACCCUGACGCACCAACGCCGCGUGGAGGAUGACACUUUUCGGAGCGUAAACUCCUUUUCUUAGGGAAGAAUUCUGACGGUACCUAAGGAAUAAGCACCGGCUAACUCCGUGCCAGCAGCCCGCGGUAAUACGGGAGGGGUGCAAGCGUUAUCUCGGAAUCACUGGGCGUAAAGGGCGCGUAGGCGGAUUAUCAAGUCUCUUGUGAAAUCUAAUGGCUUAACCAUUAAACUGCUUGGGAAACUGAUAGUCUAGAGUGAGGGAGAGGCAGAUGGAAUUGGUGGUGUAGGGGGUAAAAUCCGUAGAUAUCACCAAGAAUACCCAUUGCGAAGGCGAUCUGCUGGAACUCAACUGACGCUAAGGCGCGAAAGCGUGGGGAGCAAACAGGAUUAGAUACCCUGGUAGUCCACGCCCUAAACGAUGUACACUAGUUGUUGGGGUGCUAGUCAUCUCAGUAAUGCAGCUAACGCAUUAAGUGUACCGCCUGGGGAGUACGGUCGCAAGAUUAAAACUCAAAGGAAUAGACGGGGACCCGCACAAGCGGUGGAGCAUGGGGGUUUAAUUCGAAGAUACGCGAAGAACCUUACCUGGGCUUGAUAUCCUAAGAACCUUUUAGAGAUAAGAGGGUGCUAGCUUGCUAGAACUUAGAGACAGGUGCUGCACGGCUGUCGUCAGCUCGUGUCGUGAGAUGUUGGGUUAAGUCCCGCAACGAGCGCAACCCACGUAUUUAGUUGCUAACGGUUCGGCCGAGCACUCUAAAUAGACUGCCUUCGUAAGGAGGAGGAAGGUGUGGACGACGUCAAGUCAUCAUGGCCCUUAUGCCCAGGGCGACACACGUGCUACAAUGGCAUAUACAAUGAGACGCAAUACCGCGAGGUGGAGCAAAUCUAUAAAAUAUGUCCCAGUUCGGAUUGUUCUCUGCAACUCGAGAGCAUGAAGCCGGAAUCGCUAGUAAUCGUAGAUCAGCCAUGCUACGGUGAAUACGUUCCCGGGUCUUGUACUCACCGCCCGUCACACCAUGGGAGUUGAUUUCACU